RNAcentral lists this unclassified non-coding RNA (317 nucleotides) under uncultured fungus. Its description in RNAcentral is "partial contains 5.8S ribosomal RNA and internal transcribed spacer 2". The stretch from base 1 to 133 matches the Rfam family "5.8S ribosomal RNA", at positions 22 to 154 of the family's 154-position model. The record is from RNAcentral. Lineage: Eukaryota; Fungi.
UGGUUCUGGCAUCGAUGAAGAGCGCAGCGAAAUGCGAUAAGUAAUGUGAAUUGCAGAAUUCAGUGAAUCAUCGAAUCUUUGAACGCACAUUGCGCCCUCUGGUAUUCCGGGGGGCAUGCCUGUUCGAGCGUCAUUACAACCCUCAAGCUCUGCUUGGUAUUAGACUUCACCUGCUACAGGUGGGUCUUAAAAUCAGUGGCGGUGCCAUCUGGCUUCAAGCGUAGUAAUUUUUCUCACUUAGGAGUACCAGUUGUGUGCCUGCUAUAAAACCCCAAUUUUUAAAGGUUGACCUCGGAUCAGGUAGGGAUACCCGCUGA